GACGAACGCUGGCGGCGUGCUUAACACAUGCAAGUCGAACGAUGAUGCUGGAGCUUGCUCCAGUUGAUUAGUGGCGAACGGGUGAGUAACACGUGAGCAAUCUGCCCUUGACUCUGGGAUAACUGCGGGAAACUGUAGCUAAUACCGGAUACUUUCACCGGAAGGCAUCUUCUGGUGAUGAAAGAAUUUCGGUCAGGGAUGAGCUCGCGGCCUAUCAGCUUGUUGGUGAGGUAACGGCUCACCAAGGCGACGGCGGGUAACCGGCCGGAGAGGGUGACCGGUAACACUGGGACUGAGACACGGCCCAGACUCCUACGGGAGGCAGCAGUGGGGAAUAUUGCACAAUGGGCGCAAGCCUGAUGCAGCAACGCCGCGUGAGGGAUGAAGGCCUUCGGGUUGUAAACCUCUUUUAGCAGGGAAGAAGCGAAAGUGACGGUACCUGCAGAAAAAGCACCGGCUAACUACGUGCCAGCCGCCGCGGUAA
RNAcentral lists this ribosomal RNA (484 nucleotides) under uncultured bacterium. Its description in RNAcentral is "partial 16S ribosomal RNA". It matches the Rfam family "Bacterial small subunit ribosomal RNA", at positions 28 to 523 of the family's 1533-position model. The record is from RNAcentral.